ACUACAGACCGUGCUAUCGCUUUGGGAGUAAUCCCGACGAGGAAAGUCCGGACAGCAUAGGGCAACGCACCACCUAACGGGUGGGGCCUGGCAACAGGUACAGAAAGUGCCACAGAAAAUAACCGCUCUGCAAAGAGUAAGGGUGAAAAUGUGGGGUAAGAGCCCACGUUCCGUAAUGGUAACAUUAUAGAAGGGUAAACCUUGCGUGCUGAAACGCCAUGUAUACGGUCGAUUGAGGGCGGCUCGCCCGAUGACCGAGGGUAGGCAGAUACAGAGGGCGUGUGAACGUCAUCGCAGAUAAAUGAUAGCAUCACGGGCUUGCCCGUGAACAGAAUCCGGCUUACAGGUUUGUAGUUUUA
RNAcentral lists this RNase P RNA (359 nucleotides) under Chitinophaga sp. YR573. RNAcentral describes it as "Bacterial RNase P class A". It matches the Rfam family "Bacterial RNase P class A". Rfam says of the family: Ribonuclease P (RNase P) is a ubiquitous endoribonuclease, found in archaea, bacteria and eukarya as well as chloroplasts and mitochondria. The record is from RNAcentral. Lineage: Bacteria; Pseudomonadati; Bacteroidota; Chitinophagia; Chitinophagales; Chitinophagaceae.